Long non-coding RNA from Canis lupus familiaris (dog), 1105 nucleotides. RefSeq lists it as uncharacterized. The transcript is spliced from 4 exons. NCBI's taxonomy places the organism in Eukaryota, Metazoa, Chordata, Mammalia, Carnivora, Canidae. The record is from RefSeq and is a predicted model, not a curated record.
ACCGCUGCGCCACCCAGGGAUCCCCGAUUCUGGAUUUUUUAUAUCAUGCUCCGUUCAGUUGUUGAUUACACAUAACUUUUUCAGUCAUUCCCGUUGUGGGUUUUUUUGUUUUUUCGUGAUAUUUUUUGCCACAGAUUUAUCAUGUGUUUAUAUACUUUUUUAUAUAUAUAUUUUUUAUCAUUUGUUUAUGAUCAAAUACUGAAUACUUUUAUUCAUUCAUGGCUUCUGGCUUUGGUAUUAUACCUAAAAGUUCUCCAUCAGUGUGUUCAUAUUCAUGGUUUCAUAUUAUCUACUUAAUUGUAUGCUUUUAAUCCUCCCCCCCGAUUGAAACACCUCUGAUUCUCUUGGGAAUUUAGUAUUCGAUAAUAAGCAAGGUCAAGACCAGCUUUCUGUUUCUUCUCAGUUGAGUGACCCAAAUAAUUUCACUACUGUUCUUUACGUACUCUUUCCAGAUUGGUUCCACUCUGGCUUCUGACUCUUAAUUUUAACCUUUUUCUCCAGUCACGUCUCUGGGUCGGGGUGGACCCUUAUGACACAACUGCUGAUGUCCUGGCUAACGAACCCUACCUUCCCACGAGGACUCGGGACUUGUGUUGGAUUCUGGGCAUGAACUCUGCAGCCACCUAUCUUCACAUUUUUGGCCGUAUCCUCUGCUACCUGUUCAGAAUCCAAAGAGCAGGAGGAGCAUCUCCAUUGAAGUCUGGAGCAAAACACACAUACUGCGUAUGACCACUAUGAUUCCACGCGAUUAUCGUGUCAAGUAGAAAAUUAAACCAGGCACGGAAAAAAGACGUCGGUACGCACCAGGUUUGACGUGUGAUCCCUUCCGUUGCCUGUUUGAUGCAGAGGUUUCCCUUCGUCUUGACAUCACGUGUUAGAUGACACCUGCCUGCUGAUUUGGUCUUCUGGACGAGGUAUGUUUGUGAACCUUCUAUUGUUUCCUGAAUUGUAAUCUGUAUGUCGAUUUGUCCCUCAAAGCCUCUCUGUUUAAAUCAUUUUACUUUUGUAAAAAAAGAUUUUAUGUAUUUACCUAUGAGAGACACAGAGAGAGGCAGAGACACAGGCAGAGGGAGAAGCAGGCUCCGUGUGGGGAGCCCGAUGUGGG